Mesocricetus auratus (golden hamster) is the source of this 307-nucleotide long non-coding RNA. RefSeq lists it as uncharacterized. NCBI's taxonomy places the organism in Eukaryota, Metazoa, Chordata, Mammalia, Rodentia, Cricetidae. The transcript has 2 exons. The record is from RefSeq and is a predicted model, not a curated record.
GCUUUGGGACACACACUUGCGCGGGCUCUAAGUGACUCGUACCGAAUUAGCGGGAAGGGACUAGGGAACAGCUUCUCGAACUUCCGGACUUCAGUCCCAAGGACUUCCGGGCUAAGAACCAGGAACAGCCAUCUAGAGAGCUAAAGAUGCAUACCGACCAUUUCUACAGUUUAAGGAGGAGGUUCUCAGCAACUGAAAGGUUCUCAGCAACUCUGGGGCUUGGGAACUUGAACUCUGUUUCACCCUACAGGUAAAAUGGAGUCUGAAGUCAAAAGGGCAAUAAAUCUGGGCAAGGUGCUUUUGCCUA